This 241-nucleotide ribosomal RNA is filed under the name uncultured bacterium. RNAcentral describes it as "partial 16S ribosomal RNA". It matches the Rfam family "Bacterial small subunit ribosomal RNA", at positions 27 to 269 of the family's 1533-position model. The record is from RNAcentral.
GGACGAACGCUGGCGGCGUGCUUAACACAUGCAAGUCGAGCGGUAAGGCCCUUUCGGGGGUACACGGAGCGGCGAACGGGUGAGUAACACGUGGGUGACCUGCCCUCAGCUCUGGGAUAAGCCCGGGAAACUGGGUCUAAUACCGGAUAUGACUCCAUGACGCAUGUUGUUGGGUGGAAAGCCUUGUGCGGCUGAGGAUGGGCCCGCGGCCUAUCAGCUUGUUGGUGGGGUGAUGGCCACC